UUCCAGUAAGCAUUAUAUCUAUUAAAAUGUAGAUUGGGGGUAUUUCCACUUGGAAAUAAACUUUCAGCACUUUAUUGCACACGGUUUUUGAGUUUUAGGUAGAAAAAUAUGUUUUUUGGCUACAUUUUAGAAUGUCCGAGAUCUAUGUCAGCAUAUUAAAUGUCCCAGUUUCUUCAAGUUUUCUACAUUCAAACACUCCUAUAACCAUAUGUUCAUUUAAAGUUGAUAGGAGUACAAUAUCCAUAGCAAAAAAGAGCUAUUAAAUACACUAGUUUCUAAAAAAAAUGAAAAUACAGGUAAGAAUUACGUCAACUG
This is a long non-coding RNA of Priapulus caudatus, 315 nucleotides long. RefSeq lists it as uncharacterized. The record is from RefSeq and is a predicted model, not a curated record. The transcript is spliced from 3 exons. NCBI's taxonomy places the organism in Eukaryota, Metazoa, Priapulida, Priapulimorpha, Priapulimorphida, Priapulidae.